UGCCAAUUUUAUCGAUCUUAGAU
Molecule: non-coding RNA, 23 nt
Filed under: Arabidopsis thaliana (thale cress)
Lineage: Eukaryota; Viridiplantae; Streptophyta; Magnoliopsida; Brassicales; Brassicaceae
Source: RNAcentral